RNA transcript from Salvia hispanica, 446 nucleotides. It is a transcript of the gene named large ribosomal subunit protein eL38z/eL38y-like, with no coding region annotated. The record is from RefSeq and is a predicted model, not a curated record. NCBI's taxonomy places the organism in Eukaryota, Viridiplantae, Streptophyta, Magnoliopsida, Lamiales, Lamiaceae.
CAACGCUCCCCAAAUUUUAGGGUUUUUUUGUUCACUCUUCUUCUUCGCCUGCAUCCGCCAUCCUCCCCAAAAUGCCGAAGCAGAUUCACGAGAUAAAGGACUUCCUGCUCACUGCCAGGAGGAAGGAUGCACAGUCGGUGAAGAUCAAGAAGAGCAAAAAUGUUGUCAAGUUCAAGGUCAGGUGCUCGAAAUACCUCUACACCCUCUGCGUCUUUGACCUUGAGAAGGCCGACAAGUUGAAGCAAUCCCUUCCACCGGGUCUAAGUGUGCUGGACCUUUGAAGGUGGAACGUUCCGCCUCUGGAGAGUUGUAGCAUGUCGAAAGGGAUUUAGCUUGAGCUUUUCUCGGGGUUUGUUUGAAAGACUGUUUUGAUGGAAAUUAAUUACUCUAAUUUGUAGUGAAAACAUAUGUUGUGAUCAAUACAUGCCUUGGGUGUUUAGAUUGAA